Molecule: long non-coding RNA, 841 nt
Filed under: Urocitellus parryii (Arctic ground squirrel)
Lineage: Eukaryota; Metazoa; Chordata; Mammalia; Rodentia; Sciuridae
Description: lncRNA (ENSUPAG00010009404.1)
Source: RNAcentral
CGACGCUCGCGCGGCGUCCGUUGGCCCGACGGCCCAGAAGGCCGCAGGGGCGCGGGGCGCAGAGCCAAAGGGAAAACGUCCCCGCCCUCCCACCGCUCCCCACACCAACCUGGACCGUUCGCUCCCGGGACUCGUCAGCAGCGGCCCAAGGCGGUAGCACUACGGCCGCGACAACGCUCGGCCACCCGGCUGGCUUCUGUCUUCUUGGGCUUCGACGUCUUGACCGUGGCGUCCUGACGUCAUGCGGCGGCUUCGCCCCGCCCCUUCCCUGAAUAGCCAAUGGCCACCACCAGUGGGCUUGAGCCCGCCCUCCCGCCUACGCAAGCACGAGGGGGCUGGGACCGGCAGGCCGGAAGUCUGGGCGGGGACGGUGGCCCCGAGGGAACGAUCGCGGYCGAGUUUCCGGCUCGUCACUCUGGCACGCAGCCUUUUUUUGACUCCGCCUGUGGUAGCCAUUGUUUUCCCUGAGGAGUAAACCGGAGUGACGAGCAUUAGCACGGCAGAUGCCACCCCGACUUUACCGGACUUCUUGCGGCGGAGUAAUUAUUCCGAUUUAUGGGGAAAGUGGCAAAGCUCAUACCGAGUCGCGCGUCCUCCGCCCACGUCCCCCCUGCGGUCCCCGCACCGAGAGCCGGACUCCGUGCGUGGCCGCGCCUUUCCCGCUCCCUGUGUGCGGGGCUAACCCAGAGCACCUGUCAGACCCGAGGAUGUGGUUAUGGCUUUUAGAGAUGGAACUGCUGCUGAGCUUGGACAGGAACACCACCUGGCAGCCACAGGGAAGGGUCCUCCCCGGCCCAAUGAGGAGCAGAAUCUGGGACCGGGAGACAUAAGGACCCUGCUG